Molecule: non-coding RNA, 5040 nt
Organism: Zonotrichia albicollis (white-throated sparrow)
Lineage: Eukaryota; Metazoa; Chordata; Aves; Passeriformes; Passerellidae
Source: RefSeq, a predicted model, not a curated record
UCAGCCCGAGGCCAAAGACGCCGAGGGGGGCUGUUUUCUGAUGCGCAGGGGCCCUGGCCUUCGCCCCUCACCAGAUAGCCGGAUUCCAGGGCCGUUUACGCCCCCGCGCACAUUCUAUUAUUAGAGAUGUUCAGAUUCCAAGCAAAACUACAGCUGAGCAUAAACCUCAAGAACUACUGGACUGACUUAGUGUCAUUCCAGUGGAAAAAGGGAUGUUUUUGAGUAGUGCCAUCUAUUUAUUCUUCUCCUAUAGGAAAAUGAAAUAUAGCUGGGCUGUUGCAGGCCAAAUGAUGUAAGAGGAUGUCAGCACUAUUCCCAUCCACUCUCUGGGGCUGAAGCAACCCUUGAAUAGCCCAUAGGUCAUACACAGUCCCAUCCUCCCACAAGAUCUGCUGUACUCUGCUAGCCAGUGUGACAUGGGCUGUGACCCACAGGAGGUAAUGGAGAGGUUUGACUUGGAAAGGCCAGGUCAGCCUCUCUGUGCUUGGCACUUUCCCAGUCAGCAGAACCAGGCUGCUCUGCUGCGCCUUCUCUGAAGUUCCUGAUGUCAGCAAUCACUCUGCUGUGGAAACACAGGGCAAGUGGAAAAUCAGCUUGGUCAGGGAUUCACCCAGCUGGUCUGGAACUCAGCCUCUCUUCCUAUGAGACGCAAAUGAACCUGUACCACAGGCUGGGCAGUGUCAAAGUACAUGGAAAUGUAGAGCUGCAGACUCACCACAGCCCAUCCCACCAUCUCAGGCUCCCCAUCAUGGGAUAAGGCAUUGGGUUUUAUAACUCCCUGUCUCCUACCUCUUACUGUAUUAACAGUUGUCUUGAAAGUGUUUGUGCCUUUCCUCUUGGGAUUCAAAAAGAAGGUUUACCUUCCUGUGCAAAAAAAUAAAAAGAGGAUAAAAAUAAUAGAGUGAGAAGCAGUGAGGAAAGAUAAAGUGUCCUUUCUCAGGUGGUCUCCAGACUACUGUUUGGAGAAGAGACAAGGCUAGGAACAGUAAAACAAUAUUUGGAAUUUCUAUGAUGUUUGUCCUUCUUUGUGAAAAAACUUAACAAGGGUUUACACUAAUUGUGCUCAGAAAGAUUUACAGUUCCCACACAUUUCUGUUUUGUUUUGUGACUUAUGGCAGGUGUUGUCAGCUUCACAAAUCACACUAUGAAACUUUACAGCUAUAGUUCUUUCUGACAGCAUCAUGUUUCCAUGUAUUUCCAUUCCCUUCCAUCUCCCUACAGCAUGAGACAUUGCCCUGGUGUGCCAACAGUGGCUGCUUACAGCUUCUCUGACCUCAUCCCAGGAAAGUAUCUGUAGAAAGUGUCUUGGGAGACUGCCCUCCAGAGUUUGCCCUUGAAUUUUUCCAUCAUUACAAACGGCAAUACAACUCCAGUGGCAGCAGGAGCCUGCACUGCCACAAUGUGUCCUGGAUCCUGUGAGGUGACAAAAGAGUAGGAUGGCUGAAGAUCUGUUUCCACAAGCCUUCUAUCAGCUCUGUGGAGGCACCUCUGGCCACAGCCAUGCCCUGUUGCAGGGAAGGAAAAAAAUGUUGGGUGGAGGUUCCUAGAGGCUACUCUGCAUGCACAAGACUGCCUGGUUGCAGGAAGGAAUGUCCACAUGCUGUAGGCAUUACCUGAGGUGCAAGCCAUGAUGCUGCCCAUGGGGCAAAGAUGUACCUCGAGUGCUUGGGAGGGAUGGCCAAAUGCCUGAGUGUGCCCAGACUCAGCUGUGCAGUCCAGACAGGUUGGAUAUAAAAGUUUUCUUUGUCAGCAGAUGACCUGAGCUUGGCUUUACUUGAACUCCUUGCUGGUUAACCUGGGAUAGGACGUGUGAGCUGCCACAUGCCCUCUGGGGUCCUCCAUGGCAACAACUUGCUUCCAAACCUGCAACUUCUGCAACCCAUGGCCUCCCUUCUCAACAUCUGCCUAGACUCUGCCACUGGCUUUAGUACCCUAGACACUUUGUGCAUGGAAAUUGGUCCAGCUUUUCUGUUUUGCUGCCCUUUUUAGAAAGGCAAUUUCUUCAGCUUGCCAGAUCAAUCUGGAUUCCAGCCUGUCCUCCAAUUUGAAAGCAAUCUCUGCAGUAUCAUAGAAUCUGUAGCUGUAGUAAGCAUAUUUUAUAUUUCAUCACCCAGCUCACUAAAUGGAAAAAAAACCCCGCAAUGUGUAUAAGACAGAACCUGUCAUGAGUGAGUUUUGUAUUUGGACUUUAAUGUUGAAGGACUGAAGUUUCCCCUUGGUAUGGUAGCCAGCUAGUUAGGCGCCUAUCUAACAGUAUUUCUCCAUAGGACGGCUCCUUACAAGGAGAGGACAAAACAGUCACUGAGAUCCAGCUGGACAGUCCUGCUAGACCAUGUAAACAGAGCAGCCGGCUGGCAGCUCUCUGCCCUUUGCCAUACCUGUGUGGCUACAGCAGGGAAGGCAUCACCCAGGCUGCCACAGAGGUCUGAGGCACUCAUGACUUGGAAGAGGUUUAAACAAACUUUUGGAGGAUGUUGGUGGCUGUUCAUAAUGCCUUGAAAGCCACCUGCUGCAGAGAGAUCCUGGUGAUGGCUAGAGGCUGAGGGGUAGAGCAGAGAUUGUGCCUAGCAUUACCUAAAGAUACAUUUUCAUGGGUCAUCUAUUACUUGGGUUAAUAUCCACUUGUGGCAGAUAAUGAAAGUGGCCAUCCUUUGGUCUAGAUUUAUCUAAGGUGCUGAAAACCAAACAGCCAGUGAAGUCUGAGCAGUAUCCUCAAUUCAGGCAUUGACAUUUCGCUGUCCCUUCUUUAAAGGCUUCACACCAUUUAUAUAAUAUAUAAUGUUAUGUGUGAGUUGGUAGUUCUUGCUAUGAAAAGGUCAUACCUUGAUUUCUAUUAUGUUUAAGUGGAUUUUUCUUUUCUGCAAAAUUGUAAGCCAGAAACAUGAUUGAAAGGCCAGAGUAAGGUAACAAAUGUUCAUUUUCUUGUAUGGUAUGUUAUAUGUUGUAAGUGAAAGCCAGAAAUCAGAAGCUUUUCAAUUUGACACAUAAUGAUUGCCCUUAGAUAUUGGACUGCUUUAUUUACAAGAUGUUAAAAAUUACAUUGUGAAUACUCAUAUGAUCAUAAUAAAAUGAUUGCCUGCAAAAGUGUGAAUUCCAUUUAGCCUUUACAAAGAAGCACUUAGUGGGCUUUGUACUGCGUGGGCAUGACCUUAGAAAAGGCCUAUCAUUUGACUAUGAAAACAUGGCUUAGUUCCAGUGCUAACAAUAUCGCUCUGCUAAAAUAGCUUUGGUGGGCACAACGACCUAUAAUUUUUGUAACACCACUGAAAAAAAUUGUUUUCCUUACAGUAGUGCUAAUUGUGUACAGGACAGAUUUUUUGGAGUAUAUUAAUAUUGGUUUGAUUAGCUAUAUUUAACAAAACUGUGAAUUGUGAACAAGCAUCUCUGGAUGAUUUUUUCAGUGAAGGGUGAAAACACUCAGGUCCCACAUUAGCAGUGUUCCAUACUUGAUUCUAUUAUCUCACCAUUUUGGUUUUUUAUAUGAAUCUUAACAGAGCAACCAGAGCCACAUCAGUAAUAUACUAUCAAAUGGUACAAAAAUAUGAUGACGAAAAUAUGACAGUGGACACUCAGAAUUAUAACCUGAAAAAGGCACCAAUGGAAUAGAAAUUGUUCCUCUGACCUUGUUCCCACUCAGCCUGGUUACAGAGCAAUUUAACUCUGAAUACCUCAGUAGUAAUUCCUGAUUUUCACCAGAGUGAAUAUGGCCCAGGGAAUAAUAUAUUUGCCAUCAGUUCACACUGACUGUUACCUUUUCUUUACUUCAGCUGACGUGUAUGAUGAGACUGACUAUUUUCUAGGCUGUAUCCUCUAACUUAUGUCACCACUGACGGCAGUAAAAUGAAGAAUGUAAAAUACAGCCAUUUCAGCUGAGUUGUGAGCUAUGACUGCAUGAGGUUAAGGGCUCAUGACAUGUAUGCAUGCUUGCUGCGAACACUACAGAAGAGGUGUUUUUGUAUCAACUCCAAAGAAUUUAGGUGAGAGCAAAUGCCUUUUUCACUUUUUGGUUCUGUUUGCCUUGACAUAAUUCUGCUUUCCAAAACCCAAGGGAAAAUAUUUCAACAAAGAGACAGUCUUCGGUGAUUAAACUGUCAUGAAACAGAGAUGAAGUUGGUGGGAUUGACUGGCUCUCACUGUGCCUUGACGCAGCUGUGGCUUGGAUGAGCAGGACUGGUUAUGAGUCAAUCUGACUAGGAUGGGAUCAUGCCAGAGGUCAGGGGAACCAGCUACUUACAGAAGCACAGGCAGCUAUUUUCUCCUUCAGGUUUUCCUAUUUUAAUGCUGGUGAUUUGUCACACUUACUGAAUGAAGAAAGUGUCCCCAGCACAGUCUUCAUCAUCAUGGACCCCUGUUACUUAGAGUGAUGCUGCUGCAGUCCAGCACCUCCAACCCUCACCUUUAGCAGGACCAAUGCAAGGACCUGAAAGAUUUCUUUGCAAGAGAAAGCCAAAGCUUGGGGAGCCACCCUGGUUUCCUAGGUUACUUGAGCAGACAGGCCAGGACCUCAUUUUAAGGGAUUCUUACAUGGCUCCAUUACUGAAGUAACGGAAAAUCAUGGAAAACGUUGGUAAAGGUGAUAUCUGUCAUUCCAUAUUCUGGCUCUGCCCUAUUUUCUUCUUUGCCUUUUAUUUUAUCCCUCCUGAAGGAACAGUGUCUCAGCCUCAUCCAAUAGUGUCCUCGUGUAAUAGCAAAGAGGUUUCAACUGCUGACUUUGAGACAUGGUGUUCUGUUGAAUAGAGAGGGAACUGUAUUAUGGAGAUAAAUUUUUAUCUCAGUUCACUAAACUCCACGAUUUGUUGACCAACAAAAGAUGUCAUGAAGCCUCUCCCCACGGGGCACAAUGUGCAAGAAGUACUUGUGGUUUCUUCUCUUGCAUGGGUUUGAAAGGAUCUGGAAAGACUGCUGCAUACUGACAUGAAGAGACUGCUUUGAACACAAACACGUAUCACAGCAAAGUUUAAAGAAACGUCAGACUUCUGAACUAAUAAAGUAAAACUGGAAUGAUGUGCAUAUCAAUAAAGGCAAGAAACUAUGCCCAUA